Molecule: transfer RNA, 71 nt
Filed under: Loxodonta africana (African savanna elephant)
Lineage: Eukaryota; Metazoa; Chordata; Mammalia; Proboscidea; Elephantidae
Rfam family: tRNA
About the family: Transfer RNA (tRNA) molecules are approximately 80 nucleotides in length. Their secondary structure includes four short double-helical elements and three loops (D, anti-codon, and T loops). Further hydrogen bonds mediate the characteristic L-shaped molecular structure. tRNAs have two regions of fundamental functional importance: the anti-codon, which is responsible for specific mRNA codon recognition, and the 3' end, to which the tRNAs corresponding amino acid is attached (by aminoacyl-tRNA synthetases). tRNAs cope with the degeneracy of the genetic code in two manners: having more than one tRNA (with a specific anti-codon) for a particular amino acid; and 'wobble' base-pairing, i.e. permitting non-standard base-pairing at the 3rd anti-codon position.
Source: Rfam by way of RNAcentral
ACAGUGGUAUUUCCGUGGUAGAAUUCUCAUCUUUCAUGUGGGAGACUGGGGUUCGAUUCCCCGCCAGUGUA